GAUGAAGAACGCAGCGAAAUGCGAUAAGUAAUGUGAAUUGCAGAAUUCAGUGAAUCAUCGAAUCUUUGAACGCACAUUGCGCCCUUUGGCAUUCCGAAGGGCACACCUGUCCGAGCGCCGUCGCACAACUGAGGCGCAGCCUUGCGUUGGCGGGCGACUUGUGAGUAGCGAGUCGCCGCCCAAACGAGACGGCGCCGCGCCGCGGCCGACGAAGCACGAAAGCGGAAGUCGACGCGGAGGCGGUUGCCUGUAGGAAGACACAGCUUGGCCUCGGAUCAGGUGGGGAUACCCGCUGAACUUAAGCAUAUCAAUAAGCGGGAGGA
Molecule: unclassified non-coding RNA, 323 nt
Filed under: soil metagenome
Description: partial contains 5.8S ribosomal RNA, internal transcribed spacer 2, and large subunit ribosomal RNA
Rfam family: 5.8S ribosomal RNA (bases 1-120)
Source: RNAcentral